RNAcentral lists this small nucleolar RNA (130 nucleotides) under Dasypus novemcinctus (nine-banded armadillo). Its description in RNAcentral is "Small nucleolar RNA SNORA51 (ENSDNOG00000026200.1)". It matches the Rfam family "Small nucleolar RNA SNORA51". Rfam says of the family: ACA51 is a member of the H/ACA class of snoRNA that guide the sites of modification of uridines to pseudouridines. Lineage: Eukaryota; Metazoa; Chordata; Mammalia; Cingulata; Dasypodidae. The record is from RNAcentral.
GGCCUCCUGGUGUUACCACAGGCUGUGUGCUUGCACUGACUGUAUAGAAAAAAGGAGCAGAGUGAGCCCACCCAGAUACCCCUCAGCCCAGGCCUUGUGCCAGGUCUGAAUUGUGAAUGGGGGGACAUGG